UGAGUAAUGCCUAGGAAUYCUGCCUGGUAGUGGGGGAUAACGUUCGGAAACGGACGCUAAUACCGCAUACGUCCUACGGGAGAAAGCAGGGGACCUUCGGGCCUUGCGCUAUCAGAUGAGCCUAGGUCGGAUUAGCUAGUUGGUGAGGUAAUGGCUCACCAAGGCGACGAUCCGUAACUGGUCUGAGAGGAUGAUCAGUCACACUGGAACUGAGACACGGUCCAGACUCCUACGGGAGGCAGCAGUGGGGAAUAUUGGACAAUGGGCGAAAGCCUGAUCCAGCCAUGCCGCGUGUGUGAAGAAGGUCUUCGGAUUGUAAAGCACUUUAAGUUGGGAGGAAGGGCAGUUACCUAAUACGUAAUUGUUUUGACGUUACCGACAGAAUAAGCACCGGCUAACUCUGUG
RNAcentral lists this ribosomal RNA (405 nucleotides) under Pseudomonas sp. RNAcentral's name for it is "bacterial SSU rRNA". Lineage: Bacteria; Pseudomonadati; Pseudomonadota; Gammaproteobacteria; Pseudomonadales; Pseudomonadaceae. The record is from RNAcentral.